CAGAUACGACAUUCAGAAAGCUGUCUGUGAGCUCCGAACCCUCUAUCAUUUAUGACGGUUGUGCAAUGGAUCCAGCAACAGGACUGCAGUACCUCUUUAACAGUAAAACGGGUGAAGUCCAGUGGCUAAACCAGAAGACCUCUACUAUAUAACAUUUACUUCCUGCUAAUAUCAACACUUUUCACAUCUCUUCGGUCUGACAGCCCCAUAUGUAUGGACAAAACAGUUUUCAAACAAUUCA
Lacerta agilis (Sand lizard) is the source of this 241-nucleotide long non-coding RNA. RefSeq lists it as uncharacterized. The transcript has 3 exons. NCBI's taxonomy places the organism in Eukaryota, Metazoa, Chordata, Lepidosauria, Squamata, Lacertidae. The record is from RefSeq and is a predicted model, not a curated record.